This 67-nucleotide transfer RNA is filed under the name Protomiltogramma cincta. Its description in RNAcentral is "tRNA-Phe". Lineage: Eukaryota; Metazoa; Arthropoda; Insecta; Diptera; Sarcophagidae. The record is from RNAcentral.
AAUUCAAAUAGCUUAUAUUAGUAGUAUAACACUGAAGAUGUUAGGGAGAUUAAUUAAUCUUUGAAUA